This 122-nucleotide small RNA is filed under the name Castor canadensis (American beaver). Its description in RNAcentral is "TUC338 (ENSCCNG00000011926.1)". The record is from RNAcentral. Lineage: Eukaryota; Metazoa; Chordata; Mammalia; Rodentia; Castoridae.
GACUGAAAUGCUCUAUUUAUCCACAGAACAGAUACAGCUGGGAAAACGCCAAUGUAAUGUGCCAAUGUGCCUAAAUCCUGACCUGGAGGGACAGCCGUUGAGAAUGAGAGGUUGGUUGAGUC